AAAAUCCGUCGACUUUUAAAAUCGUGAGGGUUCAAGCCCCCCUCUAUCCCCUCCCUUAUCCCCA
RNAcentral lists this transfer RNA (64 nucleotides) under Lachnaea naviculifolia. RNAcentral's name for it is "partial transfer RNA-Leu (UAA)". The record is from RNAcentral. Lineage: Eukaryota; Viridiplantae; Streptophyta; Magnoliopsida; Malvales; Thymelaeaceae.